AACGAACGCUGGCGGCAUGCCUAACACAUGCAAGUCGAACGAGAUCUUCGGGUCUAGUGGCGCACGGGUGCGUAACGCGUGGGAAUCUGCCCUUUGGUUCGGAAUAACAGUUGGAAACGACUGCUAAUACCGGAUGAUGACGAAAGUCCAAAGAUUUAUCGCCAGAGGAUGAGCCCGCGUAGGAUUAGCUAGUUGGUGUGGUAAGGCGCACCAAGGCGACGAUCCUUAGCUGGUCUGCGAGGAUGAUCAGCCACACUGGGACUGAGACACGGCCCAGACUCCUACGGGAGGCAGCAGUGGGGAAUAUUGGACAAUGGGCGAAAGCUUGAUCCAGCAAUGCCGCGUGAGUGAUGAAGGCCUUAGGGUUGUAAAGCUCUUUUACCCGGGAUGAUAAUGACAGUACCGGGAGAAUAAGCCCCGGCUAACUCCGUGCCAGCCGCCGCGGUAA
RNAcentral lists this ribosomal RNA (448 nucleotides) under uncultured bacterium. RNAcentral's name for it is "partial 16S ribosomal RNA". It matches the Rfam family "Bacterial small subunit ribosomal RNA", at positions 29 to 523 of the family's 1533-position model. The record is from RNAcentral.